GCUUAUUCUCAGGGCGGGGCGAAAUUCCCCACCGGCGGUAAAUCAGCUUCUGCUGAAAGCCCGCGAGCGCUUUUGCUACCGAGCAAAAGGACAGCAGAUCCGGUGUGAUUCCGGGGCCGACGGUUAAAGUCCGGAUGGGAGAGGGUAACG
Corchorus olitorius is the source of this 150-nucleotide non-coding RNA. NCBI's taxonomy places the organism in Eukaryota, Viridiplantae, Streptophyta, Magnoliopsida, Malvales, Malvaceae. The record is from Rfam.